AGGUGCACCGUGAACUCAAAUAU
This 23-nucleotide microRNA is filed under the name Panagrellus redivivus. Its description in RNAcentral is "prd-miR-7883b-3p". Lineage: Eukaryota; Metazoa; Nematoda; Chromadorea; Rhabditida; Panagrolaimidae. The record is from miRBase by way of RNAcentral.